CCAAUAGCGUAUAUUAAAGUUGUUGCAGUUAAAAAGCUCGUAGUUGAAUUUCGGGGUUAGUAGGUUGGUCAUGCCUCUGGUAUGUACUGGUCUCACUGAUUCCUCCUUCCUGAUGAACUGUAAUGCCAUUAAUUUGGUGUUGCGGGGAAUCUGGACUGUUACUUUGAAAAAAUUAGAGUGUUUAAAGCAAGCUAACGCUUGAAUACAUUAGCAUGGAAUAAUGAAAUAGGACGUUCGAUCCUAUUUUGUUGGUUUCUAGGAUUGACGUAAUGAUUAAUAGGGAUAGUUGGGGGCAUUAGUAUUCAAUUGUCAGAGGUGAAAUUCUUGGAUUUAUUGAAGACUAACUACUGCGAAAGCAUUUGCCAAGGAUGUUUUCAUUAAUCAAGAACGAAAGUUAGGGGAUCGAAGACGAUCAGAUACCGUCGUAGUCUUAACCAUAAACUAUGCCGACUAGGGAUCGGAUGAUGUUAAUUUUUUAAUGACUCAUUCGGCGCCUUACG
RNAcentral lists this ribosomal RNA (500 nucleotides) under uncultured Glomeromycotina. Its description in RNAcentral is "partial small subunit ribosomal RNA". It matches the Rfam family "Eukaryotic small subunit ribosomal RNA", at positions 591 to 1092 of the family's 1831-position model. The record is from RNAcentral. Lineage: Eukaryota; Fungi; Glomeromycota.